This is a long non-coding RNA of Cucumis melo (muskmelon), 1313 nucleotides long. RefSeq lists it as uncharacterized. NCBI's taxonomy places the organism in Eukaryota, Viridiplantae, Streptophyta, Magnoliopsida, Cucurbitales, Cucurbitaceae. The record is from RefSeq and is a predicted model, not a curated record. The transcript has 3 exons.
UUUUACGUAAAUUUCUCUAUUUUGUAACCCCUGCCUCUCUCACGCCAAAACCCCAAAUCCCCUCCCUUCCUCGCCAUAGCCUCUCCUUCUCAUUCUUUCUCUUAACCAGAGACAAAACCAUCCUUUCUUCGACUUCCGCCGUUAGUCUCUGCAACAUCGUCCUGGUGGGAUUGUUUCUCUCACACACGAAUGGAAGGGAAGGGGGGCCUCACCCUCGUCGAGUAGCAUUAGCAGUUUGUCGCUCGCCAAAUACAUCAAGUACGUCACCUUUGUAGUUCAUGGUUUGCCGUUGUCCGUGACCAUGCUCCAAUCAAAGUUGAACGUGUUACAACUGAACGUUGCUAAAGGAGUAGCUCCUGUUGUUCAGUAACGUUUUUUGUGCGCCUCUAAAAGCUGAAUUUCUUGUAGUGUCGCGUUGUUCCUGGUUCUUCUUCUAAUCUUGGUGCCCUUUCCAACACUCUAAUUGGCUCCCCUUCCAACAUCCAGGUUGGGUUUCUUCAGCAUUUCUUUGAAUCUUGUCUGGUGAGGGAGCUUCCAGCUUGGGAUUGAACUUGGUUGAAUAUGAAGGGAUAGAAGAACCUCAAGGUAUGUUCUCUUGCAUCAAGUGUUCUUUGCGCAGAAUGUGGUACUUUUGGUAUUUUUGUUUACUUUUGGAAGUCCAUUUUGAUAUAAAUUACAUUUUGGAGUAACAUGACGCAUGUGUGCAUGCAUACUAAUUUUCUUUGGAGCUGCUGGAAGGGGCAAAAUGAUAAGAUAUCGUUUUAUAGGAGAAUCUAUUAAAUUUAAAAUUCCGAUACUAUAUGUUAUGGACUAAUUAAAAUACUCACAUUCUACUAUAGAAAUUUUUAAAGAACUUUUUUGUUGUGAUGGAACCAGUUUAAUGGUGGCGAAUAAGGUAUGUGUCACACUUUUCGUGUUAAUUCUACUUUAGAAAUGAUUGAAAAUGUGUAUUUUGCAUUCUUUUGGGACAGGCAUUUCCAAAUCUUCUUGAAUAAGUCUUUGGCGACUGAGACACUAUUAGCGGUGAGAUGAUUGUCCAAAUUUUUGUGAAGUAUCCAUUGGUGUCAAACUCCCAGUCCCAUGUGUUAUUUUAGAAGGUUUUUGUUUUGCUGAAAGUCUUUUUGAAGGUUUCAGUAUGCGUCUAGUUUAGAAAGCUUAUUUGGCUAUAGGAUUUUAGUUUUACGAGCUUAUUUGAUCAGAAGAUUGUGAUUUUGGAAGCACUGUGUAACAAAAUUUCAACCGAAAGAUUUGCAAACAUUCAUUUCUUUUUCCCUUUUAAGAAUAUACGGCAAGGGAGGUUGCUUUUUGCUGAA